RNAcentral lists this long non-coding RNA (4294 nucleotides) under Sus scrofa (pig). Its description in RNAcentral is "lncRNA (ENSSSCG00000053197.1)". The record is from RNAcentral. Lineage: Eukaryota; Metazoa; Chordata; Mammalia; Artiodactyla; Suidae.
UGAGCUUCAUAAGUACACAUCUACUUUAUUUUCUUUAUAGAUACUCAAUGAAUAUUCAUGAAAUUGAUGAAUACAUUUAAGACACAGAGGGCUAAGAAAAGUGAUACAAAGAUAUAUACAAGAAACUACAUACUCAUAAAUUGUGUAUUUUCUACCCCAAAAUAGAUUUGCAUAAACAGUCUGUGUGAAAUAUUCUAUAAUAGGCAUUUUAAAGAUAAAAAAGGAACAAAAUACAAUGGAGAAAAAAUAAGUGAAGUUAUAGAUUAAACAUAAUUUUUGGAGGUUGAUAAAUAUGCGCUUAUUUAAUAUCAUGGUCAUGAAGAUAUACACAAGUAUUCAUAAAAUUAAUGAAACAAUAACCAAGACUGAAGAGAAUUCUAUUGAUCUUGAGAAGCUGAUUGAAGAUUUUGAAAAAUUAAUGUUUACGGAGUUUCCUUUACAAACUCUCUGGCUUCUUGCAUAGAUCAAGACUGAAAUGAAGAUCAGAGGUGCUGGAGUUCCCAUUGUGGCUCAGCAGUAAUGAACUCAACUAGCAUCCAUGAGAAAGUGGGUUUGGUCCCUGGCCCUACUCAGUGGGUCUGGGAUCCCGGCAUUGCCGUGAGCUGUGGUGUAGGCUGCAGCCAUGGCUCAGAUCCCCAAUGCUGUGGCUGUGGUGUAGACUGGCAGCUGCAGCUCCGAUUUGACCCCAAAGACCAAAGGCCCAGUGUAAACUAGAUCAAGCUCCUGCAAGUAAAGGAGAAGAUAGGAACCUACAACUCAAAGGGAAGACAAGAUCAAACACUUCUCACCACAUUUUUUAAAAUAAAAUUGUGUGGAUUCAGUAGUUUUGAGCACCUAUUGUAAUUUAAGUUCCAGGGCAAUAAUAAUUGAUAAGACAAAUACAUCUCUACUUUCCAUAGAUGUGGAAAAGUACCAGAGACUCGUGAUUGGCUUUCAGUCCUAAGUUUCAGUUUGAAGAAAAUGGGUACUGAAAUGAUCUGGAAUUAUUUAUAGUGCGGUAACCUCAACGGAUCAAAGAAAACCAUCAGUGACUAAAAGCAACCAUGUGGACAUUAGUACAAAUACAGUAACCGAAGAACCAUGUGUUUCAUGUACUUCUGAAAAUAAGUUUCAAAUCAGCCUUCCAGAGAGAUUAGCAUGGCAAAACCCAAAUAGGGUAAGCCAGGGACCAUUCCCUGACAUUUGUAAGUCUUUGGGACCCAAAAGAUCCCCAGAUUCCUACAGAACCAGACAGUAGAGCGAAUGGGGUACUUCUGAGGAAAAUAGGACUUCACACAGUACACCAAGACAAGUAAUGGUAGACUUAGUACAAGGUGAUUUUUUACUCUGAAGUCUCCCCCCUUAAUAUUGGGAAAGUCAAUUCAGUGCUGUUUAUCUUAUUCCAAUAUAAUGAAUAAAGGAUGAAUCUAAUUGACGUCAAAUACGCAUGCCUCAUGGUUUUAAAAAAAUCUCUAAAACUCCUCCUCACUCACAUCUUAACUGCAACAAUACCAUUUUCCCCCAGAGCUUCCUAUAUAUUUUAAUUAUGAGUGGGAAGAAAAGUAUAUCAAACCUUGCAAAUAACAUGACAUUAUGUCCUCAGUUUAAUUAGAAAACAUUCUUUAAAAAGGAUCCAUAUGUAAAUCCUCUUGAAUGGAGAGAUUAAAACGAAUGUUACAGUCUAAUUAAAUUAUUCCGUAUAAAUUUCGUUUGCAGCAUUCUAUGUGGAAAUUUGUAGAGAGUUAUGGGAAACACUUAGCAGAAUAUUUCUGUUAUGCUAAUGACCUCAAAACCCUACCAUAUUUCAUCCUUCAGGAUCUUGCAUAAGGAGGUGGAAGGGAGACUAUGAAGAUUACUGAAUGUGCUUGAAUUUCAGAAGGAAAAAUGUAGUUAUCUAGAGAAUGUAUUUUUAGAAUGUACUUUUAUUAAUGAAAUGCAUUUUCAAGUUAUUUCUUUUUUUAAUAACACGUUUUGAGCUUUUAGAUUCUCCUUUCUUCAUGCUGAUAUCUUUCUUGUCUGACUUCAUUGAGGCUGCCAAUAGCACUAAGCUUUGUGUGGGAAGCUGUCAUCUGGGAACACAACAUCUUUGGCUUUUUUGUGAGAUUGCCGGUGAUGCUUCCUUUGAUGAACAAAAGCACUUCUCUGGGGUUUGUGUGUUUCUUCUAGGAAACACCUUAAAGAAAUAAUUAGCUAGGCUGGAGUUUCAGGAGAGAGAAAGUGAGCCUUUACUGCUACCAGAAAAGCCUAUUUUUUGUUUUGUUUUGUUUUGUUUUGGUCAACAAUCAAUAGUUUCCUUUGUGAACACCGGUCCUUUAUAAAAUGAAAGUUGUAGAGACUCAAAAAAUGGUCUUUAAGUAACAAGGGGCACUCACAAAUUGUGCUAAUUUUGACUUGCUGUUUUUUUUCCCCCCCAUUACUGCAUUGAUCUCAACAGCUGUAGGUACUUAAACUCGCUUUCUGGAACCCUUGCUCCCUACAUUAUGCACAAGAGCAGAAGUAGGGACAAUUAUUACCAAUUUUUCACAGAGCCCAGGGAGCCACUCGAGAGGAGGAUAGACAUUCUUCCCCUGCCACCUUCCCUUCACACUUUCCAAUUGCGACAGCAUCUCAUAAAAUAGCACAGUAAUAUUCAUUAGGAAAAAUAGAAUUUUUAUAUGUGAGAACAAAGGAAAGAGACGCUAUAAGAGAAAGAAGGGAAAGUUAAGCUAGUCUUUUCAAGCUAAGGGUGUCUCAAAUGAUAUGUAAUGAAAGGUCUUUGUGAGUUUGAUUGGAUGUAUGUGAGCAUUUGCGACACCUGUGCCUGCAGGGGGCCGCACCAGCAGCCAAAUGGUAAUACUGGUGUGUAAUUACAGAGCACUUAACUGCAUUCAGCCAUGGUUUGUUUCUCUGAUAAUUUCCACUUUCAUUGUUCAAGAGGCUGUGGACACUGUAGAAGCUGAGGUUCAAGUACCUGCAGCUGUUGAGAUAAAUGAAUGUAGUAGCUGUUUUUAAAGUUUCCAAUAGGAAUGCUGUUUAAAAGGUAAGUUUGACAGAAGUACAGUUAAAAUAUUCUACUUACCUUUCCAAAGACAUAAAAUCCUUUACCUCUAACUGGAUCAUUCUUUAGUCCUCUUUCUUCCUCAUUUCACAAGUUGGCUGAGCUCCUUUUCCCCCCAUAAGUAAAGCUGGUUUCUCCUUGCAUGCUAAUAAAUUCUCAGUGUGGAAAAAGCUACUUCGAUUUCUAUUCAGCUCUGCAGGCAUAGCCCCUAUGUUGUCUGCACUUGUGAUAUAUAAUGGAAUCUGACAUUUUAAAAUGUGUUAACCUAUUUAUAUAAAAGAAUAAAAAUGUUCCAAAAGGACCGAGACUUGCCAAAUCUGAACACUAUUCUGCUUUCAUUUUCUUGGAUUUCCCACCUCCAAAUUCUUGAAUGUGUUAUUUAUUUGUGUUUAAUUCUUCUUAAAGUUUGGAACAUUAGAAAAUACAAAUGUAAUAAAAACAAAAAAUUAAUAUAAUUUCAUUUUCAGCACCAUGGAGAGAGUAUAUAUUGUCCUGUUUUCCAAAGACUUUAUUUCAGGAACAAAAAUAUGGAGAUCAUCUAGAAACAAUGCUGCUGGAUUAUUCCUACUUUUCUCAUUUUACUGUACUUUGCAAAUAUCUUGCUCAAUUUAAUAUGAAAAUUGACAGCCUUUAUUAAAUUUCCACAAUACCAAAACUUAACUACUGCUUUGAACUUUUGAUACUUUCAGCAAGCAAUUCUUGUUUGUUGCAAAUUAUGAGUUAUAUUUCUAUAUUGGUUACUAGUGGUCUGCUUACUUUUUGUCAAAGUGUUGGUCAAAGUGAACUUUUUCUCUCUCUCUGAGUGUGUAUAUAUGUGUUUUUAGAUAGGUGGGUUGAUUGAUAGAGCAAUAAUAAAUUAAAUGUGGUAAAAUAUUACCAAUAGGUAAAUCUGAAUAAAGGGAAUACUAUUUUGAUAUUGCAAUUGUUAAGUCCAAACAUUUCUUUUCUUUUUUGUUUUUUUUUUUGUUUUGUUUUGUUUUAGGGCCGUACCUGCAGCAUAUGGAGGUUCCCAGGCUAGGAGUCCAAGCAGGUCUGUAGCCACCAGCCUAUUCCACAGCCACAGCAACACAAGAGGGGAGCCACGUCUUCAACCUACACCACAGCUCACCACAACGUGGAGCCUUAACCCACUGAGCGAGGCCAGGGAUCGAACCUGCAUCCUCAUGGAUGCUUUUCGGGUUUGCUAACCACUGAGCCACGACGGGAACUCCCCAAACUUAUUUCUAAGUAAAAGUUUUUAAAACUUCUCUAUGGUUUAAACAUGUGCAACUAAGAAUU